RNAcentral lists this ribosomal RNA (253 nucleotides) under uncultured bacterium. Its description in RNAcentral is "partial 16S ribosomal RNA". It matches the Rfam family "Bacterial small subunit ribosomal RNA", at positions 524 to 776 of the family's 1533-position model. The record is from RNAcentral.
AACGUAGGUUCCGAGCGUUAUCCGGAUUUACUGGGCGUAAAGCGUGUUCAGGCGGCUCAGCAAGUCGGGCAUGAAAUCUCUCGGCUCAACCGGGAGGGGCUGUCCGAAACUGCUGGGCUUGAGGGCAGUAGAGGGUGGUGGAAUUCCGGGUGUAGUGGUGAAAUGCGUAGAUAUCAGGAGGAACACCGGCGGUGUAGACGGCUAUCUGGACAGUAACUGACGCUGAGACACGAAAGCGUGGGGAGCAAACAGG